GUGUGUUCUUCUGUGGAUUGAGACACCAUCAACAAAGAAACCUCCUCCGUCUUAUUUACUUCUGUAAAAUUAGAGUUUUCUCCACGUACAUUUUUCAAAGUUGUACGACAUUCAAAAUGAUAAUGGCCAUACAUGUGACACCUAUGACACUCAAUGUGGGACUUAUCUGCAGACCUUGGCUUCCCAUUUGACGAGUGUUGUUGAUCAUAACCAUGUUGAUCAUUCUGUUUGUGAGUUCUUUCUUCAGCUUUGUCUGAGUUUCUUCCCUUCCACUUGUUCCUUCGACACAUAGAAUCUUUGGAGGUUGUGACAGGUUUCUUCCCUUCCACUUGUUCCUUCGACACAUAGAAUCUUUGGAGGUUAUGACUGCUUUGCAAGGGUUGCUCCUCCGUAUCUUGCUUAACAAUUUUAUGCUCAUGAACCAUCAAAGAAUUUUGUAGUUCAUCAAGUGAAAGAGUAUCAAGAUCUUUCGAUUCUUCAAUGGAGCAGAUAACAAAAUUAAAUUUAGGCAACAUGGACCGCAUGAUCUUCUCGACGAUGGUAAGAUCUGCAAGCCUCUCUCCAUGAAUUCACAUCUUGUUUGUAAUUGCCAUUGUGUGUGAGAAGUACAACAACACCGACUUUCCCGAUUUCAUACACAGGGUUUCAAACUCACCGCGUAGAGUUUGAAAUUGUGCUCACUUUGCCCUUGCAUUCCCUUUGUAUUUCUUCUUCAUAGAGUCCCGGAUUUGCUUUGGCGUAUCCUUGCAAAGAAUUGUUUCCAAAUCGAACGAUCAAUGGCUUGGAAGAGAUAGUUCUUUGCCUUCAAGUCUCUCAACUUUUGUGCUUCAUCUGUCUUUUGAGCAUUUGUUAGAACAUUUGCUCCAGGUUCUUGAAUCUCACCAUCAACGACUGCCCAAAACUCUUUGGACCUCAAAAAGUUUUCCAUUAGCAUGCUCUGGUGGUCAUAAUGGCCAUCAAAACGAGGAAUAACUGCUUGCACAAAGUUGUUCUCUGAAGUCAUAGAUGAACAAAGUUCUGGGUAAACUCUCUAGCUAUUGAUACAACUGUUAGAAAUUUGGAAGAAAACUAGAC
This 1074-nucleotide long non-coding RNA is filed under the name Nicotiana benthamiana. Its description in RNAcentral is "long non-coding RNA (NBEN_LNC033382)". The record is from RNAcentral. Lineage: Eukaryota; Viridiplantae; Streptophyta; Magnoliopsida; Solanales; Solanaceae.